CCCUCCCUCUUUCUUCAUGCCUAACACAUGCAAGUCGAACGAGACCUUCGGGUCUAGUGGCGCACGGGUGCGUAACGCGUGGGAACCUGCCCUUAGGUUCGGAAUAACUCCCCGAAAGGGGUGCUAAUACCGGAUAAUGUCUUCGGACCAAAGAUUUAUCGCCUUUGGAUGGGCCCGCGUUGGAUUAGCUAGUUGGUAGGGUAAAAGCCUACCAAGGCGACGAUCCAUAGCUGGUCUGAGAGGAUGAUCAGCCACAUUGGGACUGAGACACGGCCCAGACUCCUACGGGAGGCAGCAGUGGGGAAUAUUGGACAAUGGGCGAAAGCCUGAUCCAGCAAUGCCGCGUGAGUGAUGAAGGCCUUAGGGUUGUAAAGCUCUUUUACCCGGGAUGAUAAUGACAGUACCGGGAGAAUAAGCGCCGGCUAACUCCGUG
RNAcentral lists this ribosomal RNA (433 nucleotides) under uncultured bacterium. RNAcentral's name for it is "partial 16S ribosomal RNA". It matches the Rfam family "Bacterial small subunit ribosomal RNA", at positions 36 to 507 of the family's 1533-position model. The record is from RNAcentral.